AUUGAACGCUGGCGGCAGGCCUAACACAUGCAAGUCGAGCGGAUGAAGGGAGCUUGCUCCUGGAUUCAGCGGCGGACGGGUGAGUAAUGCCUAGGAAUCUGCCUGGUAGUGGGGGAUAACGUCCGGAAACGGGCGCUAAUACCGCAUACGUCCUGAGGGAGAAAGAGGGGGAUCUUCGGACCUCACGCUAUCAGAUGAGCCUAGGUCGGUUUAGCUAGUUGGUGGGGUAAAGGCCUACCAAGGCGACGAUCCGUAACUGGUCUGAGAGGAUGAUCAGUCACCCUGGAAGUGGGACACGGUCCAUACGCCUACGGGAGGCAGCAGUGGGGAAUAUUGGACAAUGGGCGAGAGCCUGAUCCAGCCAUGCCGCGUGUGUGAAGAAGGUCUUCGGAUUGUAAAGCACUUUAAGUUGGGAGGAAGGGCAGUAAGUUAAUACCUUGCUGUUUUGACGUUACCAACAGAAUAAGCACCGGCUAACUUCGUG
Molecule: ribosomal RNA, 484 nt
Filed under: uncultured bacterium
Lineage: Bacteria
Description: partial 16S ribosomal RNA
Rfam family: Bacterial small subunit ribosomal RNA
Source: RNAcentral